Molecule: ribosomal RNA, 254 nt
Filed under: uncultured bacterium
Lineage: Bacteria
Description: partial 16S ribosomal RNA
Rfam family: Archaeal small subunit ribosomal RNA
Source: RNAcentral
UACCGGCAGCACGAGUGAUGACCGCUCUUAUUGGGCCUAAAGCGUCCGUAGCUGGCCACGCAAGUCUAUCGGGAAAUCCGCGCGCUCAACGCGCGGGCGUCCGGUGGAAACUGUGUGGCUUGGGACCGGAAGAUCCAGAGGGUACGUCCGGGGUAGGAGUGAAAUCCCGUAAUCCUGGACGGACCACCGGUGGCGAAAGCGCUCUGGAAAGACGGAUCCGACGGUGAGGGACGAAAGCUCGGGUCACGAACCGG